GACGAACGCUAGCGGCGUGCUUAACACAUGCAAGUCGAACGGAAAGGCCCUGCUUUUGUGGGGUGCUCGAGUGGCGAACGGGUGAGUAACACGUGAGUAACCUGCCCUUGACUUUGGGAUAACUUCAGGAAACUGGGGCUAAUACCGGAUAGGAGCUCCUGCUGCAUGGUGGGGGUUAGAAAGUUUCGGCGGUUGGGGAUGGACUCGCGGCUUAUCAGCUUGUUGGUGGGGUAGUGGCUUACCAAGGCUUUGACGGGUAGCCGGCCUGAGAGGGUGACCGGCCACAUUGGGACUGAGAUACGGCCCAGACUCCUACGGGAGGCAGCAGUGGGGAAUAUUGCACAAUGGGCGGAAGCCUGAUGCAGCAACGCCGCGUGCGGGAUGACGGCCUUCGGGUUGUAAACCGCUUUCGCCUGUGACGAAGCGUGAGUGACGGUAAUGGGUAAAGAAGCACCGGCUAACUACGUG
RNAcentral lists this ribosomal RNA (468 nucleotides) under uncultured bacterium. RNAcentral's name for it is "partial 16S ribosomal RNA". It matches the Rfam family "Bacterial small subunit ribosomal RNA", at positions 28 to 507 of the family's 1533-position model. The record is from RNAcentral.